UGCUAGUGCUCAGGGUAACACAACCUAUAAAUAGAUUUUGGAAUAUAAACUGUUUAUCGUCUAUUCAGUAAGACUAAAUAGAAAGUGUGCGC
Molecule: long non-coding RNA, 92 nt
Organism: Sinocyclocheilus rhinocerous
Lineage: Eukaryota; Metazoa; Chordata; Actinopteri; Cypriniformes; Cyprinidae
Exons: 3
Source: RefSeq, a predicted model, not a curated record